Molecule: long non-coding RNA, 503 nt
Organism: Prosopis cineraria
Lineage: Eukaryota; Viridiplantae; Streptophyta; Magnoliopsida; Fabales; Fabaceae
Exons: 4
Source: RefSeq, a predicted model, not a curated record
UGCAUGCUUUUAGAGAAUAUAUAUUUAUAUAGCAGUCAAAUUCAGUGGUGGGUACGUUCUGAUUCCUCCCAAGGCCACACACAGAUAUUCUCAUUUCAGUUUCUCUUGAUUCCUUUUCCCAGUUCUUCAAAUUCAACUGGGUUCCCUUUUCUUCUUCCUAUGGCUCCGAAUUUGACGUCUCCAGCUGAAGUGAGGUUUGUUUUCUUCUCUGAUUCCUUCAAGUCUAGCAGACACGCAAACCUUCAAGGUUGUGGAGGUCAAUGUCAGAGUUGAGAAACCCGGGGAUAAUAACGUUUAGAAUAACGCAGUCUAUGCGGAAGAGACUCUGCUCCAAUCUGAAUUAGAAGUCAUGGGAGUUUGCAAUCCUUUGACCGUCCGACAUUGGAUUGGAUUGGCUUCUCCAUAAAUAUGGGCUAAAGAGAAAAUGAAAGGAGCCACUUGAACAAGAGGAGAUUAUGAUGAAGUGUUGUUAUCCUUUAUUUGUUGGAUUGUAUUGUUGCUGG